GGUUGACCUCGGAUCAGGUAGGGAUACCCGCUGAACUUAAGCAUAUCAAUAAGCGGAGGAAAAGAAACCAACAGGGAUUACCUCAGUAACGGCGAGUGAAGCGGUAAGAGCUCAAAUUUGAAAGCUGGCUCCUUCGGGGUCCGCAUUGUAAUUUGCAGAGGAUGCUUCGGGAGCGGUCCCCAUCUAAGUGCCCUGGAACGGGACGUCAUAGAGGGUGAGAAUCCCGUAU
Molecule: ribosomal RNA, 229 nt
Filed under: Penicillium astrolabium
Lineage: Eukaryota; Fungi; Ascomycota; Eurotiomycetes; Eurotiales; Aspergillaceae
Description: partial 28S ribosomal RNA
Rfam family: Eukaryotic large subunit ribosomal RNA
Source: RNAcentral